GAUGAAGAACGUAGCGAAUUGCGAUAUGUAAUGUGAAUUGCAGAAUUCAGUGAAUCAUCGAAUCUUUGAACGCACAUUGCGCCCGCCAGUAUUCUGGCGGGCAUGCCUGUUCGAGCGUCAUUUCAACCAUCAAGCCCUGCUUGCGUUGGGGUCCUGCGGCUGCCCGCAGGCCCUGAAAACCAGUGGCGGGCUCGCUAGUCACACCGAGCGCAGUAAUACAUCUCGCUUUGGGCGUGCGGCGGGUUCUUGCCGUUAAACACCCCCUUUUUACCAAGGUUGACCUCGGAUCAGGUAGGAAUACCCGCUGAACUUAAGCAUAUCAAUAAGCGGAGGA
This 334-nucleotide unclassified non-coding RNA is filed under the name soil metagenome. Its description in RNAcentral is "partial contains 5.8S ribosomal RNA, internal transcribed spacer 2, and large subunit ribosomal RNA". The stretch from base 1 to 120 matches the Rfam family "5.8S ribosomal RNA", at positions 35 to 154 of the family's 154-position model. The record is from RNAcentral.